AUAAAACAGUUGUGGAGUCUUUUGCAUGAAGUUUCUUGCUGAAUGGGACGGUGGCAAUACCGAAAUGGAAUCGUUCAAAGAUUGGUCCAAAACAACGAGAAAGCAUGGGAAGAAUGUGAGGGUUGCAAAAACUAUGGAUUUGAGAAUUGGAAUUUGUUCAACAAUAUUAAGCGAUUCAAGCAAUAGCAAAAGAAACUAUGUGGAGAAGGCUGCAACCUCAUACU
This 224-nucleotide microRNA precursor is filed under the name Medicago truncatula (barrel medic). RNAcentral's name for it is "miR5562 stem-loop (mtr-MIR5562)". Lineage: Eukaryota; Viridiplantae; Streptophyta; Magnoliopsida; Fabales; Fabaceae. The record is from miRBase by way of RNAcentral.